This 497-nucleotide ribosomal RNA is filed under the name uncultured bacterium. RNAcentral describes it as "partial 16S ribosomal RNA". It matches the Rfam family "Bacterial small subunit ribosomal RNA", at positions 28 to 507 of the family's 1533-position model. The record is from RNAcentral.
GAUGAACGCUGGCGGCGUGCCUAAUACAUGCAAGUCGAGCGAACGGACGAGAAGCUUGCUUCUCUGAUGUUAGCGGCGGACGGGUGAGUAGCACGUGGAUAACCUACCUAUAGGACUGGGAUAACUUCGGGAAACCGUAGCUAAUACCGGAUAAUAUUUUGAACCGCAUGGUUCAAAAGUGAAAGACGGUCUUGCUGUCACUUAUAGAUGGAUCCGCGCUGCAUUAGCUAGUUGGUAAGGUAACGGCUUACCAAGGCAACGAUGCAUAGCCGACCUGAGAGGGUGAUCGGCCACACUGGAACUGAGACACGGUCCAGACUCCUACGGGAGGCAGCAGUAGGGAAUCUUCCGCAAUGGGCGAAAGCCUGACGGAGCAACGCCGCGUGAGUGAUGAAGGUCUUCGGAUCGUAAAACUCUGUUAUUAGGGAAGAACAUAUGUGUAAGUAACUGUGCACAUCUUGACGGUACCUAAUCAGAAAGCCACGGCUAACUACGUG